GAGUAAAAGAAAACUCCAAAGUCAAGCUGGGAGCAUUCUGUCCUUACACAAGCCCCACGCUAAAACUUCUGCAAUUGCUACUGUGAGAAAUGAAACCAAGUCUCUUCUAACACAGCUCAUCUUCUGUGCAGAGGUAGAGCCUCCUGAGGAAACAACUGGACUAAACUGUCUCUUGCUGCUGUCAGCGGUGUGGGAUCAGACGUGGGCAAUGUGAACUGGUGCUCCUGGCAGAAAGAGACCUGUCUUAUUUCCCUUUAAAAUCAAGAUGUCACAACAAACAGAAAGCCUGGGGGAGGAGCGGAAUGCCAAAUGCAGUGAAUGUGACAGAUUUGGUACAAGCUCCCUUCAGUCAUUUUGGAAUUAAACUCCUUUUUAACCUAGGAGCAAACAAGAAGGAGUAAACAUCAUGCUCUUCUGCAGCACAGCAGAGCCCCAAGUGCUCUUUUUGGACAGAAAGCCAGAGGAAAGCUGAAUGUGUUUUCUCUAAAGCAUCUGCAUUGCCAGCACUGGAAAAUGCUCAGGAUUUCUAAAAGCUGCUACUGCAGAUAGUUUGACCAAAGCUGGCACUUGAAAGACAAAUCACCCAGAAUCAAAGAGACACAGUCCUGAACGUUCCAACUGGCUUAUCCCAGGAAGCUGAUGGAUAAAAUGAGCAUCAGAGUGUAAGUAGUAAAAGAAAGGAGAACCUGAGUUUUUAACAACGACUUUGCAUGGGGGCUGCAUGACACACCCUCAAAACAGGGAUUAGGCAGAGUUCAAGAAAUCCGUGAACAUGAUACUGUAUGUCUGCACAACUGCAAAUUUUACCCUAAUUAGUCUGGCAGUUACAGAGUAGACAGUGUCCUGCCUAGGCGAAAAUGUUCAAGUGCUGCAGUAAUUCAGAAUUUCAUAUGCGCUGACAAUUUUGCAUGCUUAUCAACUCUGUUUAAAGCCAGGAAACAAAGCAGUACACGUUGAUAAGUGAAAUGAUCUGAUUUCCCAUGUGUGACCCACUGUGCAGCUUUUGUAGAAGUUUAGUCAUACAUAAAUGGAUUUAAUGGAUGCUGCCAAUGUAUUGACAACCUGCUUAUAUGAGUGUUCCAUCAGCUACAGCUGUACAAGUGCUUUCACCUCCCCACUGUAUUCCUAGAAAAAGUAUACACAUAUAUAUCAACAAGCAUGAAUUAUGCAUAAAGGUCUAUCAUUAGGCCAUACCUGAACUUAGUAGGAAAAACUAACUCAAGCAAACAUUCAAAAAUAAAAUGUAAAUUCAUAAGAACUGUAAGGGCUACCUCACUGUUGCAUUUCUAUAGCAUUCAAAUCAUCUUUUCUUCCCAUCGUAUUCAAUAUUGAGUCUGUCUUUUCCCUUCUCCAAUUUUUGUGUGAUCUCCUGUGACAUCUAAGUAGCUCCACACCUCCUCUUAUAUAU
RNAcentral lists this long non-coding RNA (1408 nucleotides) under Meleagris gallopavo (turkey). Its description in RNAcentral is "lncRNA (ENSMGAG00000022093.1)". Lineage: Eukaryota; Metazoa; Chordata; Aves; Galliformes; Phasianidae. The record is from RNAcentral.